Molecule: long non-coding RNA, 590 nt
Organism: Neltuma alba
Lineage: Eukaryota; Viridiplantae; Streptophyta; Magnoliopsida; Fabales; Fabaceae
Exons: 3
Source: RefSeq, a predicted model, not a curated record
CAAGAAUCAGGAAGGAGGUGGAAAUUGGUACUUGAGUGCUCAACAUCUUUUCAUCUUUGAACAUCUCAGAAAUUUCGUGGGUAAUAUAUUGCUUUAAAUUGAGUUCAUAGAUUCUCAGGUUCCAUUGACAUUUUGCACUUACGCUUUUGUUGGUAUAAUGCUGUUGGCAUUCUGGUAACUGUUUAUAAGCAGGAACAAUUCACACUUGAUGAGUGUGCAGAAAUUGAAACACUAUGCCUAUUACUUGAGAGCUGUUUUAUGUCCUCUUCUUCUGGUGGAAAUGAUUUUGAAGAUCAUUUACGGACUGCUUUGCGAGAAAGUGAUAUAGUAUUUCUACAUUGGGUAGUUAUCAUCUUUCAUGUACAUUGGUGCUCUGGCUGCUGCAUUGGUCAGUUGGGUUCUAGUACUUUCAAUCACCCUGCCUAUGGACAGCCCUGUCUAACUGUUCUGAGGAAACUUAGUAGUCAAUUCUGUGGGGCAUUUGAAGAACGAAGUAAAGGAGCAUUUGUUUGAUGAGCUUCUGUUUUUGUGCCGCAAUGCUAAUGGUGAAAUAUUGAGUGCUGCCACAGAUGCCAUAUCACACAUCACAU